This 278-nucleotide ribosomal RNA is filed under the name Clostridioides difficile. Its description in RNAcentral is "partial 23S ribosomal RNA". It matches the Rfam family "Bacterial large subunit ribosomal RNA", at positions 2395 to 2672 of the family's 2925-position model. Lineage: Bacteria; Bacillati; Bacillota; Clostridia; Peptostreptococcales; Peptostreptococcaceae. The record is from RNAcentral.
AAGGAUGAAAAUCGGACUUAGUGAUCCGGUGGUUCUGCGUGGAAGGGCCAUCGCUCAACGGAUAAAAGCUACCCUGGGGAUAACAGGCUUAUCGCCCCCAAGAGUCCACAUCGACGGGGAGGUUUGGAACCUCGAUGUCGGCUCAUCACAUCCUGGGGCUGUAGUAGGUCCCAAGGGUUGGGCUGUUCGCCCAUUAAAGGGGUACGCGAGCUGGGUUCAGAACGUCGUGAGACAGUUCGGUCCCUAUCCGUCGCAGGCGUAGGAAAUUUGAGAAGACC